AUUGAACGCUGGCGGCAGGCCUAACACAUGCAAGUCGAACGGUAACACGAAACAGCUUGCUGUUUCGCUGACGCGUGUCGGACGGGUGUGUAAUGUCUGGCAAACUGUCCUUUUUCGUGGGAUAACUCCUGGAAACGGUAGCUAUUACCGCAUAUCGUCCCAAGACCAAAAAGCGGGACCUUUUCGCCCCUUGCCCUCUUAUGUGCCCCGAUGGGAUUAGCUAUUAUGUGGGGUAUCGGGUCACCUAGGCGACGCUCUCUAGCUGGUCUGUGAGGAUGACAAGCCAAACUAGAACUGAGAAACGGGCCAGAAUCCUACGGGAGGCAGCAGUGGGGAAUAUUGAACAAUGGGCGCAAGCCUGAUGCAGCCAUGCCGGGUGGAUGAAGAAGGCCUUCGGGUUGUAAAGUACUUUCAGCGGGGAGGAAGGGAGUAAAGUUAAUACCCUUACUCAUUGACGUUACCCGAAGAAGAAGCACCGGAUAACUCCGU
RNAcentral lists this ribosomal RNA (489 nucleotides) under uncultured bacterium. Its description in RNAcentral is "partial 16S ribosomal RNA". It matches the Rfam family "Bacterial small subunit ribosomal RNA", at positions 30 to 506 of the family's 1533-position model. The record is from RNAcentral.